This 344-nucleotide ribosomal RNA is filed under the name uncultured bacterium. RNAcentral's name for it is "partial 16S ribosomal RNA". It matches the Rfam family "Bacterial small subunit ribosomal RNA", at positions 338 to 699 of the family's 1533-position model. The record is from RNAcentral.
CCUACGGGUGGCAGCAGUAGGGAAUAUUGCUCAAUGGGCGAAACCCUGAAGCAGCAACGUCGCGUGGAGGAUGACGGUUUUCUGAUUUUAAAAUCUUUUUGUUAGAGGAGAUAAUGACGUUAUGUAUAGAGUAAGCACCGUCUCACACCGUGCCAGCAGCCGUGGUAACACGGGGGGAGCAAGGGUUAUUCGGAAUAACUGGGCGUUAACAGGGUGUAGGCGGGAUAGCUAGGCUGAUGGGAAAUUCUUGGGUUUACACUUAAAACUGCAUUUGAUACUGUAGUUCUAGAGUAUGGGAGAGGUAGGUGGAAUGAUUUGUGUAGUGGUAAAAUCCGUAGAUAUCA